GAGUUAACGGAAGUUAAAAUAAAACGGGUUAUAACUCUCGGGACCCACUAAGUAACUAGGAAUAUCAACCUAGUUAGUUAAGUGUUUUAAAAUAAUGAAGGAACUUGAUAUAGUAACCUUUUUAUAACUUUUAGAAACUAGAGGGACUAAAAGGGUUAAGUGAGAAAAUAAUUAUUAUUAAAACAAAAAUUAAAAACCCAAAACACACACUUGGUGUGUGUUCUGGUCGUAGAUUACACAGGGGGCGAACAAGGUUUCUUCAACCAAACCCUAACUAGCUAAAAAUCAAGCAAUUGGAAGGCCAAAUCAGUCCCAAAUCGAAAUCCAAGCUUAUUUUAGUGAUCACCUAAGCGAAGGGAUCACAAGUUUGACUCUGACAAGCUUGGUAGGAGCUUGGAAAUGAACGGGUCAAAUGGAUACAAGUUCAAGUAUGAAGCUCACAAGGAUGCAAGGUAAGUAAAGCUUACACCCAAUUUAAAUGUACGUGUUUAUUUUAUAGGUGAUAAAUAUGACAAUGGAUUAUGUUUAAAAAAAAAUGGGUUCCGACAUGAACCGAAAUGAGUCGGAAUAAAUAAAAACUAUCAAAACCAUGGUUAAUGGUAAAAAGAGGCAAAAUGGUAAUUUAGUCAUGAAUUGACUAAGAAUUUAUAAGUUUUCUUAAAGUUACCUAAUAGCGUAACUAGAAAUGGGAAAAAGGGGUAAAAAGGGUAAUUUAGUCACGUGAUGACUAAAUAUAAGUUGAGAUUAAAUGGAUACCCACGGCGUAAGCCGAAAUGGGUUAAAUAUGUAAGAAAAAGGAAAUUUUGUGGUAAAAUCCGGAAUGGGUAGUUAAAAACCAUGCUUUGAAACAAAUGCGAAUGUUUGGUCAUAUAGGCCAAAUGGGUCAAAUGGUGGUGAUAACACCAUUUGACAAUAUUGACUAACGUUGGUUGUUAAGUUGUAUGUUCACAGGAGUGAACCGGAAAUGGAUAAUUGCGUCGCUAUAAAGUAACGGCUAAUAAAAGCAAGGUAUAAAACGAGUUUAUAUAUUGACCCGAGCCAGGUACGCAUAAACAAGCUUUUAGUUAAACGUACGAUUCUUGGUCAAUUAAUUAGCGAAAGUCCUUCAUUGUAAAAUGAAGGAUUAAAAUUGACCAAAAAGCCCUCGUUGGGUAAAGCGGGCAAACGAACCCUAGAGAUUGUUUAGGAACUUGUAUUAUGAUUAUGUAACCCUUUUGAUACGCAUAAGAAUAUAGGCAUAAACUUUCGUGGGUCAAAUGCCUAAGAAUUGGUCUUUUUAGUAAAAUGACUAACCGAAAAAUAAUACUCGGGAUAAUCGGUUUAUUGUAUUAAUUCACCACAAAAAUAGUUGUGGUGAAACAUAAGUAGACAUCUUAAAUGUAAAAAUGUGAAGUACGAAAAGAGAUGAGUGAAAUUGAUGCUUAAAUGCAUAAAAACCGUUAAACGGGUCAAAAUAAAGCAAGUGAUUAAGAUUGGCUAAGUGUUGGAAAGUUUCAAAAUAAACCGGUGAAUGUAAACACGAAUACAAACCUUGUAAUGGAAGCGAAAAUGCUAAUUUUUGGCAAGCCCGGAAUGGGUAAAAACGAUAAGCAAUGAAUAUUGUUAAUAAACUUGUAGUAUGAUGUUAAAAGUAACGGGUCAAAUAAUCACACAAAGGAUUUUUAAGUCGUUUGCUUAUAAAUCAGAUUUUUAUGCAAACCGAGGUGAUAAACGGAUUCGUAAUUUAAUUACGGAAGCGUGUAAAAAAAAGAAUUACGCGAAACGGACUUGUAGAUAAAAAGUAUGGAACUUGUUUAUACUUGUUUUUAAGUUAUCAAAACUAACCAUUAAGUUGGUUUUUGAUGUUAGGUGAAUGUAGCUACCAUCCGGGUGUCGAUCAAGCAAUGAAGUGAACCGAACACUAUGCAGUUACAAGCUUCCGCACAUAGUUUCGUCGUUAUUUUUAAACGACGAACUCAACUAAUUACGUUGUAUUGUUCUUUAAUUGUAAAAGUUUUAAUAAACCCGUAUUUUUCAAUAUAUGUGUAUCCAUAAUUACAUAUUUAUUUUCGUAAACCA
Helianthus annuus (common sunflower) is the source of this 2058-nucleotide long non-coding RNA. RefSeq lists it as uncharacterized. NCBI's taxonomy places the organism in Eukaryota, Viridiplantae, Streptophyta, Magnoliopsida, Asterales, Asteraceae. The transcript has 2 exons. The record is from RefSeq and is a predicted model, not a curated record.